Molecule: non-coding RNA, 326 nt
Organism: Pelobates cultripes (western spadefoot toad)
Lineage: Eukaryota; Metazoa; Chordata; Amphibia; Anura; Pelobatidae
Source: the annotation of a GenBank genome assembly
GAGGACAGGGAGCCUCCACACUGCCUCCCACGGAUGGCGGCGGGAGCUGUGAGUACAUGCGAUGCGUGACCAGUGGGGGAGGGGAAACCCGCCAGGCGUCCUCAGCUAUCGCCAUCGUCGUACAUAGCCGCGUAAUCGCAGCCAAUGCGUAUAAUCACAGACUGGGCGCUGCAACUCCCAUGAUGCUCUGCCACCCGGCAGGCGGUCCAUCGAUGGAGCCCUAUCUCCAGCCCGGUACGCUCCCUAUGACGCACAGCCAGCCGUGUGAAAGGUCCGCAGUGGCCUCGGGCGGGUUAUCUCGCUCCCGGGCUAUGUACUAAUCUGGG